GAGGCCAGGCGGGGCCUUCCUGGAUCAGGAGUGGGGACCAGGCAGUUCGGAAAUAGCGACCUGCAGGGUCCGCAGGGGCUUCUGCUGGGGCUGCCCCGGGGGAGUCCUGAGCCUCAGCCGCCCCUACGCCUCGUCAGAGCCCCAGAAUGAGGGUCAGCAGGAACGUGCAGGCUCCUAGAAAGUCCUGUGGAAGACGCCUGUCUGUUCUGCUUGCUGAUCGCCGGUCUCCAGGGCCAAGGAGGGGUGCCUGGCUCCUUUGUAAGAGAAUGAAGGGAUCCGGAAGGAGAGGCGGCCUGCUGAACCAUCAACUAGCCGGAUUUCUCACCUUUCCAUUCCGAGGAGGUGUUGUCAUCAACCUUUAGAGAGAAACUGGAUUGAUUUGGGGGGUAAGGAAGUUCAUUCUCCCUGGCUUUAUAUAUAUUUUCCAACCCACUGCUAAAUGUUAGUGGUCUUUAGUGUCUUUAUGUGAUGUAUACCACUUGUCAGUAUUUAUUUAAUGUAACCUAUGUCAUUUAAAGAAGGUUAAAUUAUAGGGUAACUAGAGAGUGACAAUAAUAUAAUUUAAGCACUAUCAUUUAGAGGAAGAUUUCCACCCUAAAAUUUGGUUAAAAUACAUUUGAGACAGACACUGUUAAAUUCAUUGCACAAAUUUUACUUUGUGACAGCUCCAACAUAGUCUGUUGUAUUUAAUAAGAAUUCCUGCCCAUAAAAGAAGAUUUAAUGACAUUAA
Molecule: non-coding RNA, 730 nt
Organism: Odocoileus virginianus texanus
Lineage: Eukaryota; Metazoa; Chordata; Mammalia; Artiodactyla; Cervidae
Source: RefSeq, a predicted model, not a curated record